This is a long non-coding RNA of Manis pentadactyla (Chinese pangolin), 3240 nucleotides long. RefSeq lists it as uncharacterized. The record is from RefSeq and is a predicted model, not a curated record. The transcript has 2 exons. Lineage: Eukaryota; Metazoa; Chordata; Mammalia; Pholidota; Manidae.
CCCAAGGGCCCCAGGGCCUCAGCUCCUGCAUCUGCCUUUUGAUCUGAGGCUUCGUCAGCCCCACCUCGCCUGUCCGCCCUGCACAGACACCACCUUUCAGCACAGGUUUUCCCACGUGGCACUCCGCUCUCCUUUCUGCUGGGCAGGUCUGACACUGCUCUGCUCUCUGUUUUACCACAAACAAAAUAAAACUAGCAACUUCAGCUAAAUACAUCUUGCUCGUGAAUGCCUGUCCUUCAUGCUUUAUUCUGUAUUUCACCUUAGAGUUUACAAACUGCCUUCAGCCACCCUUAUUGGCAGGUUUUACUGGCCCUGUUUGAGAAACAGGAAAACGGAGGCUCAGAAAACGAACUGCCCAGCCACGACUCAGACCACGGUUUGGAGUCUGCAAUGCCACACGGCUGCCGGCUGAACACCUUCCUCCUCGGCUUCAUCGUCUUUAACACGACUCAAAGGAAUGUGCUUUGGACCCCGGUUACAUGUAUGCAUCUUGAGGGGAUGAAAUAAUGCUAUCUGCUGGUUUCUAAAACUCAAGGUCUGCCUCAGUGGGUAAAUACAACUUACAAAUUAUGAUUUGCCCUUAAUUCUAAUGGGUUAGUCUUGUGGCAGGAAACCAGAGCUGCUGACGUGUUCAGUUUCAGAUGUGAGCAUCGCCCUGGAGAGACCUGUGUGAAGUGGCUACGGGGACCCGCAGAGAACAUGGAAAGGCCCCCGGGGGCCCCUGCGGCCUCAGAACUGCCCACUGCCCUGCAGAACAGUGGGUGUGAGCCAGGCACCAAGUCAAACAAAAAGAACUUCAAACUAGGACACUGGAACACAUGAGUAAGUGAACUUGUUGUUCUAGAAAUUCUAGAAAUUCUUUCAAAACGCUAGACAAACUAGAUUUUUCCGAAAGUGUUUUGUCUACUUGCGCGAACGCUGCCGGCGUGUCUGACUGUCCCACAGGCUCCCUCCUCCGGCCUCCUCCCUUCACACAGCCCCUUCCUGCGCGGCGGCGAGGGAGAACGAGGAGACUGCAGGAGCGGUCCCUACUCGGCACGGAGCUCCCUCCAGGGCUGCUAGGAAACCGCUUCCUGAAGCAGCCGCUUCGCUGGCGGGCAGGAGGAAAACGCCGCCCGCCUGCGGGGUUCUGCUGACGAGGUGCGCGCAGACAGCGGGUCCGGCCCCCUUCGGAAAGCUCCAAGCAGACGAACUGGGGCAGCUAGGCCGCGUGCUCCCACCCAGGCCCGGCGCUCGGCUCUUCUCCCCCAAGGCUGACCUCACGCCCCAGAAACCUGUCCUUCCUGCCUGGACAUCAGGGAUCCCACAGGCCACGCGCCACCCCUGGACUGCACUGAGGACUCGGGCUCCCCAGUCACCCCGGGGCUGUGGGCUGGGGACUCGCAGCGUCGGAAGCCUGUGAGCUGGGAGACACUGGAGGUCACGCGGCCCAGCACCCUCACUUUCCGUCAGGGGAAGAGCGCGGAAAGACUAAGACGCAGAGGGAAAGCUGACGGGUGUCACCUGAAAGGAGAGCCGGAAGGGGCGUCAGUCCCCUACGAAGCCCCUCCUCCCACAAGCCGAUUCUUAGCCGUAGCCUCUCAGGUGGCCAGACUCACCCUCAGCUCCCAACAGCUUUCUCUCUGACUCAAAUCAUUCCAAAGGAAGGAAAAUACGACUACAUUAAAGCAGCUUCUCCUUUAAAAAAGCCUGGGGGAGACCAUGCUCUCCUGCAAGACUGAGCACCAAGAAGACCAACGUAAGGACCCCAAGCACCACGAGGGAGGCCUCUGCGCGGGGAGGCGGGGCCCAAGGCCGCACGGCCUGUGGGGCCCGCAAGUCAGGUCCCUGAGCCUCGGUCCCAACGUGGGGGCCAGUAACGCGGGUGACACUAGCGCGUGAGGGACUGGGCGGCAUGGCACGGAGAGCACAUGGGGUCACCUGACACGGGGGGAGAGGGGACAGGCUGGCCGUUCUGUGACAGGAAGUAAAGGGAUAUGAAAACAGGAAUUCUGACCAUCACAAAUGGUCCCAACUUGAUUAAAAACCAUUCAUCACCAACUUCCUGUAACAGGCAGCCAGCGCCCCUCAGGCCAGGUUUCACGUCCUCACAACUGAGCAAAAACCUCCUUCUACAGAAAAAGUUUCCCCCCUUAAGAAGAUUUUAAAUUUAAAAGGUUUUAUUUUAUUUAACUCGUGGGUCUUACCAGCUUUUUAGUGACCCAUGUUGGAAUGCAAGUGCCCGUGAGGCUGUUCAAGGACCCGGAGGUUGUGCCGGGUGACUAGUGACAGGUCAGAUCCAGGGUGGCCAGGGUCAGAACGCCGCCUUCUCACUGCUUCUUACACUGCUCACCCACCACCGUUUAACUAGUUUAACGAGGAGCAAGGCCACAAGAGCCCCCAGAGGUGGGGGACCUCAUGACAUAUCGCAGGACAGAACAGAAGAGGGGUUUCAAGGGACUGGACCGUGGUACUGGGACACAGAGUGAGCACAGGGGCGCCUGGCGCAGAAGGAAGGGCCAGGCAGGAGCUCUGCAAUGAGGAAACAGGCCACUCUUCCUGGUUUCAGCCCGAAGCCUAAAUAUUUCAGAGUAACAUUUCAGCAAUAACCUCAGACAUUUAGGAUUUAAGAAUAAAUCUCCAGGGAUGGGAAGGAAAUGUACUUAUUAGUAUUAAAAGGACCCCAUGCUUUUGCUUCUCAGAAGGUCACAGGUCAACGGUGACCCCAGGUUUGGCUUCUCAGGCCACACACAGGCCAGCACAGUGUUUGCACGUCCCACAGGGAGCCCCAGAGCAAAGGAAGCAGCCAUGUCAGGAAAGAAGGGCAAAGCCCUUUAUUUUCAGAAUGGGCAAGUGGAAGGCUUGUCUAUGCCACUCAAUGCCACCUGCCUUACACACUAUCAGGAAUCAGGACCCCAAAGAAAACCCCAAAACAAUCUGGGUGAGGCUGAAACCUUGGGUGCAAGCCCCCUUCUGGUCCAGCUCAGGGGGCAUUUAUGUUAAAGGCUUUCCAUCUCUAACCUCUAAACAGUUGCUAACGGGGACCCUGCUUACGUCAAGCUGGAACCCAGGCGACCUCCGGCACCACACACAUGGGCCUGAUGUCACCAAGCCACCCGACAGGCCACCUCCCUGGCCAUAUGCCAGUUCUCCAGCCAGUGGCUCCGUCCGCACACUGCUUUACAACGCAGUUCACCUCCCUGAGUUUAUGGCUACCAGAAGAAUAAGGCAAAACAAAAUAAAAGCCAGAAUCAAACAACA